This 427-nucleotide ribosomal RNA is filed under the name uncultured bacterium. RNAcentral's name for it is "partial 16S ribosomal RNA". It matches the Rfam family "Bacterial small subunit ribosomal RNA", at positions 355 to 774 of the family's 1533-position model. The record is from RNAcentral.
UGGGGAAUAUUGGACAAUGGGCGAAAGCCUGAUCCAGCCAUGCCGCGUGUGUGAAGAAGGUCUUCGGAUUGUAAAGCACUUUAAGUUGGGAGGAAGGGCAUUAACCUAAUACGUUAGUGUUUUGACGUUACCGACAGAAUAAGCACCGGCUAACUCUGUGCCAGCAGCCGCGGUAAUACAGAGGGUCCAAGCGUUAAUCGGAAUUACUGGGCGUAAAGCGCGCGUAGGUGGUUUGUUAAGUUGGAUGUGAAAUCCCCGGGCUCAACCUGGGAACUGCAUUCAAAACUGACUGACUAGAGUAUGGUAGAGGGUGGUGGAAUUUCCUGUGUAGCGGUGAAAUGCGUAGAUAUAGGAAGGAACACCAGUGGCGAAGGCGACCACCUGGACUAAUACUGACACUGAGGUGCGAAAGCGUGGGGAGCAAACA